This 447-nucleotide ribosomal RNA is filed under the name uncultured bacterium. RNAcentral describes it as "bacterial SSU rRNA". It matches the Rfam family "Bacterial small subunit ribosomal RNA", at positions 29 to 510 of the family's 1533-position model. The record is from RNAcentral.
AACGAACGCUGGCGGCAUGCCUAACACAUGCAAGUCGAACGAGACCAAGGCUUCGGCCUGAAGUCUAGUGGCGCACGGGUGCGUAACGCGUGGGAAUCUACCCUUGGGUUCGGAAUAACAGUUAGAAAUGACUGCUAAUACCGGAUGAUGACGUAAGUCCAAAGAUUUAUCGCCCAGGGAUGAGCCCGCGUAAGAUUAGCUUGUUGGUGAGGUAAAGGCUCACCAAGGCGACGAUCUUUAGCUGGUCUGAGAGGAUGAUCAGCCACACUGGGACUGAGACACGGCCCAGACUCCUACGGGAGGCAGCAGUGGGGAAUAUUGGACAAUGGGCGAAAGCCUGAUCCAGCAAUGCCGCGUGAGUGAUGAAGGCCUUAGGGUUGUAAAGCUCUUUUACCCGGGAUGAUAAUGACAGUACCGGGAGAAUAAGCUCCGGCUAACUCCGUGCCA